Molecule: ribosomal RNA, 253 nt
Filed under: uncultured bacterium
Lineage: Bacteria
Description: partial 16S ribosomal RNA
Rfam family: Bacterial small subunit ribosomal RNA
Source: RNAcentral
UACGGAGGGUGCAAGCGUUAUCCGGAUUUACUGGGUUUAAAGGGUGUGUAGGCGGUCUGUUAAGUCAGUGGUGAAAUCUCCGGGCUCAACCCGGAAACUGCCAUUGAUACUAUUAGUCUUGAAUUUUGUUGAGGUAGGCGGAAUAAGUCAUGUAGCGGUGAAAUGCAUAGAUAUGACUUAGAACACCAAUUGCGAAGGCAGCUUGCUAAACAAAUAUUGACGCUGAGGCACGAAAGCGUGGGGAUCAAACAGG